This 1342-nucleotide ribosomal RNA is filed under the name uncultured bacterium. Its description in RNAcentral is "16S ribosomal RNA". It matches the Rfam family "Bacterial small subunit ribosomal RNA", at positions 28 to 1378 of the family's 1533-position model. The record is from RNAcentral.
GACGAACGCUGGCGGCGUGCUUAACACAUGCAAGUCUAACGGAAAGGCCCUGCUUUUGUGGGGUGCUCGAGUGGCGAACGGGUGAGUAACACGUGAGUAACCUGCCCUUGACUUUGGGAUAACUUCAGGAAACUGGGGCUAAUACCGGAUAGGAGCUCCUGCUGCAUGGUGGGGGUUGGAAAGUUUCGGCGGUUGGGGAUGGACUCGCGGCUUAUCAGCUUGUUGGUGGGGUAGUGGCUUACCAAGGCUUUGACGGGUAGCCGGCCUGAGAGGGUGACCGGCCACAUUGGGACUGAGAUACGGCCCAGACUCCUACGGGAGGCAGCAGUGGGGAAUAUUGCACAAUGGGCGGAAGCCUGAUGCAGCAACGCCGCGUGCGGGAUGACGGCCUUCGGGUUGUAAACCGCUUUCGCCUGUGACGAAGCGUGAGUGACGGUAAUGGGUAAAGAAGCACCGGCUAACUACGUGCCAGCAGCCGCGGUGAUACGUAGGGUGCGAGCGUUGUCCGGAUUUAUUGGGCGUAAAGGGCUCGUAGGUGGUUGAUCGCGUCGGAAGUGUAAUCUUGGGGCUUAACCCUGAGCGUGCUUUCGAUACGGGUUGACUUGAGGAAGGUAGGGGAGAAUGGAAUUCCUGGUGGAGCGGUGGAAUGCGCAGAUAUCAGGAGGAACACCAGUGGCGAAGGCGGUUCUCUGGGCCUUUCCUGACGCUGAGGAGCGAAAGCGUGGGGAGCGAACAGGCUUAGAUACCCUGGUAGUCCACGCUGUAAACGGUGGGUACUAGGUGUGGGGUCCAUUCCACGGGUUCCGUGCCGUAGCUAACGCUUUAAGUACCCCGCCUGGGGAGUACGGCCGCAAGGCUAAAACUCAAAGGAAUUGACGGGGCCCCGCACAAGCGGCGGAGCAUGCGGAUUAAUUCGAUGCAACGCGUAGAACCUUACCUGGGUUUGACAUGGAUCGGGAGUGCUCAGAGAUGGGUGUGCCUCUUUUGGGGUCGGUUCACAGGUGGUACAUGGCUGUCGUCAGCUCGUGUCGUGAGAUGUUGGGUUAAGUCCCGCAACGAGCGCAACCCUUGUUCACUGUUGCCAGCACGUUAUGGUGGGGACUCAGUGGAGACCGCCGGGGUCAACUCGGAGGAAGGUGGGGAUGACGUCAAGUCAUCAUGCCCCUUAUGUCCAGGGCUUCACGCAUGCUACAAUGGCUGGUACAGAGAGUGGCGAGCCUGUGAGGGUGAGCGAAUCUCGGAAAGCCGGUCUCAGUUCGGAUUGGGGUCUGCAACUCGACCUCAUGAAGUCGGAGUCGCUAGUAAUCGCAGAUCAGCAACGCUGCGGAAAUACGUUCCCGGG